UUUAGUGCGACGGAAGGAAAACAACACGGAGAGAAGAAGAAAAAAGAAGAGGAAGAGGAAAAAUAGACUUAAAGUUCUUAUAAAACGUCUGGCAUUAUAGAUAAUUAUAGUUCUCAGGUGCUGCUGAUAGUUCCACAAAGCCAUGGCCCACAGUGGAGUCAGUCCGGGUCCGGGUCCAGGUC
Molecule: long non-coding RNA, 182 nt
Organism: Thalassophryne amazonica
Lineage: Eukaryota; Metazoa; Chordata; Actinopteri; Batrachoidiformes; Batrachoididae
Exons: 2
Source: RefSeq, a predicted model, not a curated record